RNA transcript from Asparagus officinalis (garden asparagus), 3303 nucleotides. RefSeq lists it as uncharacterized. The transcript is spliced from 6 exons. NCBI's taxonomy places the organism in Eukaryota, Viridiplantae, Streptophyta, Magnoliopsida, Asparagales, Asparagaceae. The record is from RefSeq and is a predicted model, not a curated record.
CACCCCUCGCGUGCCGUUCCCUCUCUCUCUCAAAAACUCCGCCGGCCGAAUCUUCACUCAAGCUCCACCAAUCUUCCCCUUGUCGGCAGAUCUUCCCUUCGCCGGCAGAUCAAGAGCUCUCACUCAAGCUCCGGAUUCACCUCUACCUCCCCAAACCCCUCCACCGGCUUCACCUCUACCUUCCCAACAUGCGACCCCUUCAUCAAAAUGGAAAAUCACAGUUUGUUGUUAAACAAAUUUUGGUAUUUUGUCCAUUGUUGGGUUUAUUAAAAUUUCUUGACGAUCACUGAUGAAAUUUGAAAACCUCUGUGUUCUGUUAGUACUUCUAUACCGGUAAUGGAUGUGUGUGAUGUAUGCUGGGCCUGUUGGCUGGUUCGGAGGAAAUGAAAGCGAGUUUGCUGUUGGUAUAAGAUCAGCUUUAGUGGGAAAGGGAUUUAGCACAAUAGUUUAUGCUGGUGUCGGGAUUGUUAACAAAUCUAAUGCAUACUCAGAGUGCGAAGAACUAGAUUUGAAGGCAUCCUAGUUCACAAAAUUGUUGCAAAGUCAGGAAGCUUGGCGCUCGCUAUCGAAGCAUAAAGAAUCGGACAAAGCCAAUGAAUAAUUCAACUUAUGAUGCUUAAUGGUGGAUCAUCUUCUGUUAUUACUUCUUCUGCAAUACUAUCCAAAUUUUGAAAUUCUGAAAUGAUAGGUGCGAGACGUGCUUGGUGAUGGGUGUCUUAUAAAGUGCCGUGUGCUUGAUGGAAGAGGUUUAAUAUGGACUUCAUCUUCUUCUUUCAUUUUUACUAUCUUUUUUCUGUAUUGUCAAAUUGGUUAUUUUGUAGUUUCCAUGAAGAGCUAUCAUUUUGAAAAUCAUACCAUGGUGUAUAAUAUUUUCUGUAUGUAUUCAAAUCUCUGAUGAUUGCAUCAUACUUUAUCUAUGAAUUUAGACUGACUGACGUUUGCAUAAUGUGCACAUGCAUUCCUUGAAGACAGGUACACUGUUCUGGAUUUAGCUAUAACAUUUUGCUUUAUUUUUUUUCUUCAGUGUAUGCUGCAUUUAUUAAAUUUUCUAACCUUUUGGAAAUAUUUAGGCGAGUGUCCUAUGGAUUGCCCUUUUCAUGAGAGUUUCCUAUGCAAUGCUUCUUGAUGAAGAAGAAAUUAUAUUUUAUGACACGAAGGUUGACAACCAUGGCGAGCCUUUGGAGUUCAGUUCUGGAGAAGGGCUUGUCAAGGCUACCCUCUCCGGCCAAUAGGAACAAAUUGAAGCAACACUGCGCUCUUCACUCAAUGUUUGUGAAGAAAAUGAGUCAAAAUCAAAGAGACUAAUCUUAGCAUUACACCACAAAGGUUUUUACACGAAACUAAAGCCAAAAAGUAAACCCUUACACAACUAGUCAGAAACACAGUGAACAAGCUCUCAUUAAUGCUAUAUAUAGUACAACAAUCAUGCAACCCUAAAGUUCCCAUUAACAAACAUUGAUUCUUAUACAAUCAAUGGUAAUAAACAAUGAACAGUCAGAAACAACUCUGUAUAGUAAAAAGUUAUUGUACCAGAAUUAUAUACAAUGAAUAAUCAAGAACUAACUCUGUACAAAUGACUAGUUGCAAACUCGCUCAUGGAACAAUCUAUCGACUACUACUCUUUUCUCCUUUUUAUGAUAUAUGUAGCACAAUGAGAAUUUGUUACCCUCCCGCUCCUUUUGUAGACGGUACUCAUGUAAGCCCAAUGUUCUCUGUUGGGAACUUUCCUCCCUCAGCUCAUAGGCGUAAUCGAAUCGAAAGCCAUCAGGAUUGACAUCAUUUAAUCUCCCCGACUUCCAAUAACCUGGAUUAGUUAUUCGAGUAUACCUAUUUGAAUCCUGAUGGUAAGAAUUGAAAAACAGUGUAGUUGUUGCAACCUCCUGGGUACUUGCAGAAUUGGGUGCCAAGACUGAUAGCUCGACAAAAAAGGUGUGAAAUAAAUAAGACAAACAGUAAUCAAGAAAUGCACAACCAAGAAAUGAAGACAGUUACACAAACAGAGCCAAAUUAUACUACGCUAAGCAAAGAUGUAUAAAUCAAGACAGGGAUAAUAUAGAGGCUUUCAAAAGAAAAUUUCAAGCACCUUAUACUCCCAAAUAAAAGAAAAACUCCCAUAAACCUAGUCUAGAAAUGAUAAUGCACAGUAUCUUAUUCAAACAGAACUAAGGGAAACAACAUAAAGAGUUAAAACGAUCGAAGCUAAAAGUCUCUUUGUCUAAAGUUGUGAAGCUUCUAAAGUUGAGAAAUUCUCAUAAUAAAGGCUGCCAAAGGAGAAAAUAAGGGAACCAGUUUAGGAUGUUCUUAUUCAUGUCUAGAUGUCCAAACAUAACUUUGUUUUACUUUGAUAAAUAUGAAUAUAAAUUGGAGGUCAGCACUAUAGUACAACGAGCUAUAGAAAUAUUGGUGCAUAUUUCUAUUAGUGGUGCAUAUCCAGCAUAAUGUUAGAAAAACUAAUAAAAAGCAACUAUAUUCAUAGCUGUCUAUUACCAAUUACAUUCAAAGUUUUACAUACAUGUCCCGCAAUCACAUCAGAUGUUGGGACAAACUAUCAAGACAGUGUACAAUAUUCAUAGCUGUCUAUUACACUAAGUAUCAAUUACAUUAACUAAACCAACUAUAUGGAGUUGGAUUCUACUACAGAGAGAAAGAGGAAGAAGUAAAGGAAAGAGUCAGUUCUACGCAUGUACCAAUAGGAACAAAUUCUCUUUCUCAGAUUAUGCUACUCUUUGUUCCGUUGAGAACUUUAGAAUUUUUUUUGAAGAGAUCGGGUCUAAUAACAUGGUCAUAGUUGUUGAAAAUGGUCUUAUGACAUGGUAACUAAUUGUAGUGGUUAGUAAUGAAGAAGUUAUUUGCAUAUACAAUUUAGUUGAGCUCGAGCUGAUAUAUGCGAGCUAGUCUCCAUUAAAAAAACCAAAUAAAACCCAUGAAAAUUUCAUAGGCCAUGAGAAAGGAUUACCAGGAUUUAGAAGUAGUUUAGCAGGACUUUUCAGGAAGAUAAAAUCCCAGUCUGGGAGGUUCCCUUCACCAAUCAUUCCCACAACAUCUUUCAGAAAACCCAGCCUUUCCUCAUCGUGAAGUGAGCCAUGCUUCACCUCACUCAUCCAACAUGGUAUCUGAAAAAAUUACAAAUUCAUUUAGUUUCUGAGACAUCCUAUUAUUUGCCUGAAUUUUAUCAUCAUUAAAAUAUUUAUCAUAACAAUAUUCAAAAAACAAAAAAUUCUAGAAAAAAACAUACAUCCAUUAGGACAUCCAUUGCAAUCUGAUUAAAUUCUCCCACUAAUUCAGGAUCCUCUCCUUCUUGUC